This 344-nucleotide ribosomal RNA is filed under the name uncultured Actinomyces sp. RNAcentral describes it as "partial 16S ribosomal RNA". It matches the Rfam family "Bacterial small subunit ribosomal RNA", at positions 416 to 776 of the family's 1533-position model. Lineage: Bacteria; Bacillati; Actinomycetota; Actinomycetes; Actinomycetales; Actinomycetaceae. The record is from RNAcentral.
CUUAGGAGUUUACUUUUCUCUCUAUUGUAAAAAAAAAAAUGUGGUCCCACAAAAAAAAUAUGUGUAAAAAUUUCCCCCCCCAGCCCGGAUAAAAACGUUUCCAACGAGCUUUUUCGAUAUUUUUGGGGGAUAAGGCGGGUCUGGGGGUUUUUAAGUUUGAAUGGAAAAAUCCAGGGCUUAAUUUUGUAUUGCGUUUGAAACUGUAAAACUAGAGUAUGGGAGAGGUUAGUGGAACUACAAGUGUAGAGGUGAAAUGCGUUGAUAUUUGGAGGAAUGCCGAUGGGGAAGCCAGCUUUCUGGCCAGAUACUGACGCUGAGGUGCGAAAGCGUGGGGAGCAAACAGG